This 745-nucleotide ribosomal RNA is filed under the name uncultured marine bacterium. Its description in RNAcentral is "bacterial SSU rRNA". It matches the Rfam family "Bacterial small subunit ribosomal RNA", at positions 14 to 794 of the family's 1533-position model. The record is from RNAcentral.
UGAUCCUGGCUCAGAACGAACGCUGGCGGCAGGCUUAACACAUGCAAGUCGAACGAGAACUUAGAGCUUGCUCUAAGGGACAGUGGCAGACGGGUGAGUAACGCGUGGCAACCUACCUUUUUCUACGGAACAACAGUUAGAAAUGACUGCUAAUACCGUAUACGCCCUUUGGGGGAAAGAAUUUCGGUGAAAGAUGGGGCCGCGUUAGAUUAGCUAGUUGGUGAGGUAAUGGCUCACCAAGGCGACGAUCUAUAGCUGGUCUGAGAGGAUGAUCAGCCACACUGGGACUGAGACACGGCCCAGACUCCUACGGGAGGCAGCAGUGGGGAAUAUUGGACAAUGGGCGCAAGCCUGAUCCAGCCAUGCCGCGUGAAUGAUGAAGGCCUUAGGGUUGUAAAAUUCUUUCGCUAGGGAUGAUAAUGACAGUACCUAGUAAAGAAGCCCCGGCUAACUCCGUGCCAGCAGCCGCGGUAAUACGGAGGGGGCUAGCGUUGUUCGGAAUUACUGGGCGUAAAGCGUGCGUAGGCGGACUAGAAAGUUAGAUGUGAAAUCCCAGGGCUCAACCCUGGAACUGCAUUUAAAACUCCUAGUCUAGAGUUCUGGAGAGGUAAGGGGAAUUCCUAGCGUAGAGGUGAAAUUCGUAGAUAUUAGGAGGAACACCAGAGGCGAAGGCGCCUUACUGGACAGAUACUGACGCUGAGGCACGAAAGUGUGGGUAGCAAACAGGAUUAGAUACCCUGGUAGU